AACAAAUGGUGCUGGAGCUAUAAGACAUUGCUAUAGACUAAAUUGUGUCUCCCCAAAAUUCAUAAAUUCAAAAACGUUAGGCUACUUGCCUCUUCUCCUUGCCUCUUGGAACACACUUGAUGUGUUUAGCUGAGUAUCUCAAGGAGAGUGUUUAUUGUUUAAAAAAAGAAAAAAGUAUUUCAAGCCCCCUGGAGAGCACAGCCAGUUUCUCAAUAAAGAAAUAGGACUACAGUUCUAUUUUGUUUGUUUUCAGAACUGAAGCCACAGUUUGAUGGACAGAUAGGAGGUAGCCAUAUCGUGCUCUGCUAGAGGUGAAAUUCUUGUAUAGACAGAAGAACUAGAGAAAAGUAUUUGUCGAGAAUGUUUUCCUUAAUCAAGGAUGAAAGUCAGAGGUUUGAAGACAAUCAGAUACCAUUGUAGUUCCAGUCCAAAGCAAUGCAGAUUAGGCCAUGUGACAGUGUAAUUCUCAAGACCCUUAGGGCAGUUUUCAGGAAAUCAAAGUCUUUGAGUCCUGGGCAUCGUAUGGUUACAAAGGUUUAACUUAAGGGAAUUGAUGGAAAGUUACCCCAGAAGUGGAGCCUGAGGAUUAAUUUGCCUCAUCAGGGGAUCCUUGCCCAGACCAGAUACAGACAGGAUUGACAGCUCUUCACUGGCUAUCCUAAAUUGGUAGAGCAAUUUGUGUGGUUAAUUCUGAUAAGGAAGGAAAUUCCAGCAUGCUAACUGAUGACCCUGCACAGUUAGUUUCCCCCAACUUCUUAGAGGGACAAGUAGGAUUCAGCCCCUCCAGACUGAACAUUCACAAGUCUGUGACACCUUUACAUGGCCAGGGCUGCUCCCGCUACACUGACUGAGUGUGUGUGCCUUCCCUAGUCUCGCAGGCGUUGAUCACUCAUUGAACUCCAUUCCCCAUCAGGCACUGUAAUUAUUCUUCAGCUAGUCACUCCUACCAGUCAUAUGGUUUAGUGAAGCACUCAAAUUGGCCUCAGUGCAAAGGCCAUAAUUGUGGUGGAGUGCUGAGAAGAUGGUCGAAUUUUAUUUUGUAAAGGAAGUUAAAGUCAUAACAAGGUUUCCCUAAGUGAACGUGGGGAAAGAUCAAGA
RNAcentral lists this non-coding RNA (1098 nucleotides) under Pteropus alecto (black flying fox). RNAcentral's name for it is "Eukaryotic small subunit ribosomal RNA". It matches the Rfam family "Eukaryotic small subunit ribosomal RNA", at positions 637 to 1831 of the family's 1831-position model. Lineage: Eukaryota; Metazoa; Chordata; Mammalia; Chiroptera; Pteropodidae. The record is from Rfam by way of RNAcentral.